This 330-nucleotide ribosomal RNA is filed under the name Meiodrilus adhaerens. Its description in RNAcentral is "partial 16S ribosomal RNA". It matches the Rfam family "Bacterial large subunit ribosomal RNA", at positions 1950 to 2524 of the family's 2925-position model. Lineage: Eukaryota; Metazoa; Annelida; Polychaeta; Protodrilidae. The record is from RNAcentral.
GCAAAGGUAGCAUAAUCAUUUGCCCCCUAAUUAGGGGCUAGAAUGAAUGGAUCAACUUCCUCUUGCUGUCUCAUCAGAACCUAUAAAAAAUCCUAUUUAAGCGAAGAAGCUUAAAUUAAUGAGAAGGACCAAAAGACCCUAUAGAGCUUGACUGAAGAAAAGAAAGUUAAUCAUAUUCUUCUAUUUUGCUGGGGCGGCAUAGAGUAUGACACUCUAAAUUACUUACACUAAAAAGUGUCCCCUCAACCCUUAUUUGAAAACGAAACAGCUACCUUAGGGAUAACAGUCUUAUUUUUCUUAAUAGCCCACAUUAAAAGAAAAGUUUGGCAC